GAUCGCUACCCCAGUCACCGUAAUCCCCUCCCCUGGACGAGCCUCUCUUCCCAGGCAGUCCGGCAAGAGGAAACUGACAUCCCGCAUCCCGCCUGGCACUGAAACCUGGCUUCUCCGCCCCUACUCCUACCUGCCGCUCAUCCUGGGCUCCUUCCUAGACUUCAGUGCUUCACACGCACUUGCCUAGCGCCCGAACUCCUGUGCAUCCACACCACUGCCCCGUGAGAGCGAGCUAGUCCACAGCAUCUGCACACCCCAGCAGGUGCAGCCCCGCACCACUAGCGCCCCCCUGGCCCCAAAGUUGGAGGACGCCAGCAAAAUGGAAAGGGAUGGCUGGAGGGGAGGUGGCGAUGGGUUCUCAAGUGGAAUGAGAAAACUCUAAAUGCCACGAACCUGAACCCAAUUGACCCGUGUCCAGCUGCAGCGAGUAGCCAGUGUUUGUUUAUUUAUUCUUUGGGGUGUCCCCGCCUCCUCUUUCUCUUUCCGGCCUCACUUUCUCUGUGCUAGGUAAAAAACGAUGCCAUAAUCUGCUACAGCUCGGAGGACAGAGUUGGCCAGGACGAUUUCCGAGCAGACCUCCCCGCCCCGGCUCGAUGCCCGACUUGGCAAGAUUCAGACUCACUCAGACCUAAGCCCUGAGCGGCGAUCCGGGAUGCACCCACCCAUUGAUAAAACGCUUGUGCGAGCUCACGCACCUCUCUCCUCCUGCUAUGACAGCGAGACAAAGCAAAGUCCACCCCAGGCCACUGCAUUGAAGUCUGAUCAGACCCAGCUUUAGCCCCAUCAGAAGCUCUGCUACAUCUGUGGUGACCGUUGUUUCAGGCACUCUAUCUGCCUCCUUGACUGGACUGUGAGCUCGUUGAAGGCAAGGAAAUGUUCUAGACCUUAGGUCUGCAUCCCCAGCAUUUAGACUUAUGACUGACACACACUCAAUCCCAAAGAAUGCGUAUUGAUUGCAUGAAUAAUGCGUAGUGCUGGUCCUCAUUUUCCUCUGACACCAUAAUUUUACAGAAAGAUUUAUAUGAAAAUCCCUUUACUGUAUGAACAAUACUAAAUGUAAGUACCUCGUAUGAUUACUGGUAUUACAGUUCCAAUAAUAGUAUCAGAUAUGUAUUAUUCCUUUGGGGAUUUGACAUUUAAAUUUUUUUAAACAAAAACCAUUAUUAUAAUAGAAUGCUCUUUUUCUGCCUCACUUUAAUAGUAAAAUAUGACAUAUUUCAUUUCUGGGAAAUGAUAUCUUGCCUUAGGUCAUAUUUUAAGGCAUAAAGCCAGAAGCA
Molecule: long non-coding RNA, 1277 nt
Filed under: Mus spicilegus (steppe mouse)
Lineage: Eukaryota; Metazoa; Chordata; Mammalia; Rodentia; Muridae
Description: lncRNA (ENSMSIG00000028494.1)
Source: RNAcentral